UACGUAGGUGGCAAGCGUUGUCCGGAUUUAUUGGGUUUAAAGGGUGCGUAGGCGGCUUUGUAAGUCAGUGGUGAAAUAUGGCAGCUCAACUGUCAAGGUGCCAUUGAUACUGCGGAGCUUGAGUACAGAUGAGGUAGGCGGAAUUGACGGUGUAGCGGUGAAAUGCUUAGAUAUCGAGAGGAACACCUGCGGCGAAGGCGGGUUGCUGGGCUGACACUGACGCUGAAGCGCGAAAGCUAGGGGAGCGAACGGG
This 253-nucleotide ribosomal RNA is filed under the name uncultured bacterium. RNAcentral's name for it is "partial 16S ribosomal RNA". It matches the Rfam family "Bacterial small subunit ribosomal RNA", at positions 524 to 776 of the family's 1533-position model. The record is from RNAcentral.